GUUCUGUUCUGUGAACGCUUCUUCGCUUUCCUUCCCUGACAUUAAUCUGUUUUCUACAGUUCGCCGUGUGCUGAGGCAAGGGGAAAACGUCUGCGACAUGCAAACAGGCCCGGCUGUAGUCGCCAAACAUCAAUCCAGUGUCAACACGCAAGAGGGGAAUUCGCCACUGCUUUGAGAGGAGAUAACCGGCAUGUUUACCAGGCGGACGCGGGGAAAAGCGGACGGACACAUGCAGAUCGGUGUCUUAUCGGACAAGCGGUGGCCCUGCACCUGCUGGUCGUGUAACCCCUGCUACGUCCCCCGUGGAACAUGAGCCUGUGGAAUAUGUCAAGCAAAAAAAGGAGGAUUAGGCUUGUCGUCGGCGGCGGCGUGUGCACCGACUGAGCCGGCGCUUCUCCUCGCCACUACACACUCCAGCAAUCAGGCGGGCUGCCAAACAAACAGAUGAAGUCAACAGAGAGACGCUUCCUUGUGUCUUCUGAGAUGUGACUGCAACAGAUGCAACGCUGACACCGCCGCUUGACACGGUGUGACAGCCUACUGUGUCUACACAGCCGGCUCCACUUUGACUUAUUUUGAAGGAGGGGAGGGGAGGGUAGGGGAGGGGGUGACACUAUGCACAUGAUCACACACAAGAUAAUGUUUGUCAGCAGCAACAGCGAUGUCACCGUGUAAGAGAGACAAAGACAGACAACGGGGGUUGAUUUCACGGUGCAGUCAUGCUGUGUGUACAGUCCUCAAAAGAUUUCCAUAUGGUGUAGGGUGGGGGGGGGGGGCUCGCAGUCAGUUUUUCGAGGUGCAGGCUUUGAUUUGCUCUGUGCAUGAUUCAAUCUCCGAGGUGAACUAUGGCCAUUACACACUGCAAGGUCAAAAUCCCAUUACUUAAAUGCAAUUUUAUCCCUGAUUUUUUUUCUUACAGGCCCCAUCUCUCAAAUAUAUCUCCACAUCGCCACCCAGGCUGAAAGCACUGCAUGCUGGUUAACAGAGUUCUUGGCUUUGAGCAGCUCUAGGGGAUGGAGUGAGGGAGUAUCUGUAUCCAGGUAAUUACAGUCUGAGGGGGCACAGAGGUCCUCUGUGAUUACACAUCAGCCCUGUAAUGGAUUCAACACUUAUAGACGGAGAGAGAGAGAGAGAGACGCGUUCCUUACCUUCCCAUCGCGAAAAAGCAAGGGGACGGGCGGGCGAGAGCAGGCGAGGUGGGGCGGGGUAGGUAGGUAUAUCUGCAAGAUGGAUUACGUGGGGUUUGCCGAGUUCAACAUUGACACAGAUUCAUCGUAAAUCAUUAUGCCGGGGACCCGGAGUGAUUUCUGCAUUAGGAGCAGAAAAUGGAGUUCAGCCAGUCAAUGAGGGAGGGCAUAUUUCACAUCAAUCACCUCCACACUCGCAUGUUACCCAGGCUUAAAUCUCACUUAUACUGUUACCAAUAGGGUUCAAUGGCUAUGAUGGCAAUCAGCAACACAGUGCACUAACAAUACCCACACAGAGAACACAGCAUGGGGCUCCGGCGCCAUUUAUUCAAAGUGAAUUAUAUGAAUUGAAAACUGAGAAAAGUAAAAGACGAUGUUGGCACUAAAGAGGUUGUUUGGAUUAUAAUUCCGGCCUAUAUUUAUAGUUGUUUGAACUUUUAACUCAUGUUGGCUAACUUUCCAGCUGACUUCCUGCAGCAGUUUUUAUUCUUAUUCGUCAUGGAGAUAAGGUUGGCCAUGGGCCAGAAUCUAACCAACACUUCAGAUACUGGAAGUUUCAAUGAAGCACAGUCUAUUCUCAGGCAAAGGAAUGUACAGUAUAUUAUCCUACAGAGUAACCUUGCUUAUGUUUGGGGUCAAUUAAACCCUAGAGAGGUUUAACUCCCUGCAUCUUACCUUAAACCUCUUAUAAACAAACUGUUAUAAAACUCGGUUUUCUCCAGGUUCUCCAGCUUCCUCCCACAGCCCAAAGACCUGCU
Sebastes umbrosus (honeycomb rockfish) is the source of this 1945-nucleotide long non-coding RNA. RefSeq lists it as uncharacterized. The transcript has 3 exons. NCBI's taxonomy places the organism in Eukaryota, Metazoa, Chordata, Actinopteri, Perciformes, Sebastidae. The record is from RefSeq and is a predicted model, not a curated record.